UCCAGUUCUCUCCUCUUGCCAGGUGGGGCCCCAGGGGAUAAUCUGAGCUACUGUUUCAUCAGAUUAUGGAUCAUAAUCUGAUUCCCCGGUAUUCCUGGCUGGCUGCCCAGGACUCAGGGCUUUACCCUUGGGUCUGCCCUGCAGUGUCCUCUCCUUUUCAUUCUAUUCUGCUUCUAACCAUUCUUUCCUCAAGCCUCUCUUUGUCUCUGUCCUCUCCUCUUUGAGAAAAUAGAGACCUUCAAGAUAUGCAUCAACAUCCUAGCCCCCAACCACUGUAAAGAACCAAGAGGGGGCUGAGAUUUUCACUAGCAGGGGCUUGAGCAUAUCCUGAGUCACCAGUCUGGGGCCACCCUUUAUGGCUCUGUCCUUCAUGUCCCCCCCUAAAUUCUGAACUUCAAUCAAGUAUUGUAUUUCCCAAAUCAGCUAACGCAUGACGGGCAGGCCAAUGUUGUGAUGCCACGGAACUUUAUUAGCACCUAAGGAGAAUUCUGCAAUGAAUCCAUCUGGGCCUGGGCUCUUCGUUGUAGAUGUUUGAGGUGUGGCAUCAGGUUGUUUAUUUGUAUUCAUUCUGUUUUCCUGAUGUGGGAACUCAGUGCAAUAAAUUUUCCCCUGAGGACUGCUUUCAUUGCAUCCCACAGAUUCCGGUAAGUUGUAUUUGUAUUUUCGUUUGCUUGUAGGUAUUGUUUAAUUUCUUUUUUAAUUUUCCCUGUGACCCCCUGAUUGCUCAAGAAUGUAUUAUUCAGUUUCCAUGUGUUUGUAGGGUUUUUGCAGUUUCUUUCAUCAUUAAUUUCUAGUUUCUUGGCACUAUGGUCUGAUAACAUGCAUGGGAUAAUUUCAAUUCUUUUGCAUUUAUUUAAAUAUGUUCUGUGAGCUAGUAUAUGGUCUAUUUUAGAGAAUGUCCCAUAUUCUGCUGGGAAGAAUGUAUAUUCUGAUGUUGUUGGAUGGAACACUCCGUAUAUGUCUAUCAAGUCCAUUUGUUCACAGGUGUGAUUCAGUUCUGUUAUUUCUUUGAUGAUUUUCUGUCUGGUUGAUCUGUCCCUUGGUGUCAAUGGUGUGUUAAGGUCUCCUGUUAUAAUCGUGUUAUUGCUAAUUUGAUUUUUCAUUUCUAUUAAUACUUGCCUUGUAUAACUGGUUGCUCUGGAAUUUGGUGCAUAUAUAUUUAAGAUUGUUAUCUCUUCCUCUUGAAGUUUUCCCCUAACCAGUAUGUAGUGACCUUCUUUAUCUCUUAGGAUCAUUCUUGGUUUGAAGUUCAUAUUGUCUGCAAACAGAAUAGCUACCCCCACUUUUUUGGGGGUUCCUUUUUGCAUGAAGUGUUGUUUUCCAUCCUUUGACUUUCAGUCUGUGAGUUUCCUUUUGGGUUAGAUGGGUUUCUUGUAGACAACAUAUGGUUGUAUGUUUUUUCUUGAUCCAUUCUGCUAGUCUGUCUCUUUUAAUUGUUGAAUUGAGACCAUUUACAUUAAUGGUUAUAACUGUUACAUAUUGGUUUAUUGUUGACAUGCUAUGUUUCUGCUGUUGCAUCUUUAUCUUUCCAUUCUGUUUAACUGUCUGCCUUGCUUAGUGGUUUUUUCCUAUGUGUAUCUAAACUGUGUUUCAUUAUUCUUUGCAAGGUUGGCUGGUGAUCAUGAAGUUCUUCAGCUGUUCUUUGUCAUGGAAGUAUCUUAUUUCUCCAUUCAUUUUGAAGGACAGUUUUUCAGGGUACAUCAGUCUAGGUUGAAGAUCUGAAAUACUUCAUUCCAUGCUCUUCUUGACUUCAUUGUUUGUGCUGAGAAGUCUGCUGUGAUUCUGAUAGGUUUUCCUUUAUAGGUGAUCUGUCUUUUCUCCCUAACAGCUUUUAAUAUUCUGUUCUUAUGUUGGAUUUCUGGGAUGGUGAUUAUUAUAUGUCUGGGUGUAGUUUUAUUUUGAUUAUGGCUAUUUGGGGUUCUAUAUGCUUCACUAAUCCAUAUGUCAGUUUCCAUUCUCAUGUUUGGGAAAUUUUCAGCUAUUACUUCUAUAAAUAGCCUCUUGAUAUCAUUUGUGUUAUCCCCUUUUCAUUUAUCCCUAUCAAUUUUAUGUUGUUUUUCUUUGCAUUAUCUUGCAGCUGUUGUAUUGUUAUUUCUUGAUUCCUUGUUAUUUUUUAAGAUCUUUCCUUUCCUGUUCACUAGCUGCAAUCUUGUCUUCAAGGUCUGAAAUUCUAUCUUCACUUUCAUUGAAGCAGGUUUGACAACUUUCAAUGGAAUUUUUGAUUUCCUGUAUGUCUCUUUGAAUCUGCUUCACGUAUUCUGUUUGUUUCUUAUAUUGUUCAUCCAGGGAUUCUAUCAUUUUGUUUUGUUCCUCUAAUUUUUUAACUCUGUCUUCUUUAGAUGUGUUCAGCAUCUCUUUCAUUACUUUUAUCAUUUCUUCUUUUACCUGGAAGAUUAAUUCUAGUUUGAAUUCCUUUAAAGCUUCCCAGAGUUGCUUCUUUAUUUCAGUUGCUAUUAUUUCAGGUAUUCAAGUGUAUGGCAUAUAUUUUCUUCUAUGAACAUAGCUCCUAGGCUGUCUUGGGGUGUGCUGGAGGUUUGAGAUUGCAUUUUGGUCUUUUAUUUUUUCAUUUUCAUAUAUCUCUGUGUUUCAAGUGUUGCUCCAAGGCUUCCCCUGGGCAUGUUGGAAAUCGUCUGCCAUGCCCUUGGCUCCUGGGAAUGAAUGGAGGUUGCUGAGCAUGGUUCAGUCAGGCCCACAGGACUUCCCAUGCCACCUCUAGUGUUCCAGGAAGCUGAGUGGGUACCUGACCAAUGUGGAUGAUGGUCCAAAGCUCUCCCUGGACAAGGAACAAUGGGCUGGAACUCACUUGAUGUGUUCUCAACUCCCCUGAUUGAAGAAGGUUGCUGGGUGUAAUCUAGUCUGGCUGCAAAACCUCCCAAGCCCAGUCUAGUGUGGGUGUGUCCUUGACCACUGGGAGAGAUGAUCUUAAACUCUCCCGGGGCUUGAGAUGGUGAACAGGAACUCACUCCCACUGGCAGCCCAGUUCCCUUCUCCACCAGCACAGCUCCCCAGAUUUCACAGUUAUAUUUCUUUAAUGGGAUAUUUUUAUUAUUUGUUCUUAUACAUGUUGCAUUUAAGUUUCUAAAUUUACUGGUAUUCCUUGUGUUUAGACAAUAGCACUAUAGAGAAUAAUAUUAGAACAACCCUAGCAGCCUUUAAUAUAAACUUCUAUAAAAUGGGGCUUCUUAAAUAAAAUCUAGCUCAGACUUAGAAAAUAUACAGGCCUAUAAUAAAACAUAGAACUCCUUCCACCACUUAAAAAGCAGUAGAAUGGUGGCCAUUGUUCAAGUCUUGGAGGACAGGUAUCACUGAGACAGACUGGCUCUGAUCCUUCUCUACACUUUAGGAGAAAUGUUGAGUCUGUUCUGCAUUAGUUUCCAUUCUUUGACUUUAUUUUUAAUCUUUUCCCAACUUUGUACUUUCCUAAAAGAGGCAUGUAAAAAUCACAAAGAACUCUGGACUCUUCCAACCUUUUUCUCCUAAGUUAAGUCCAUAGAAAAUGAGCAUUUGCUAAUGCCAAAGACAGGGAAGUCAUCUUCAAUGAGGGACACAUACUGUGUCUCUGGGUCAGAUGAGACAUCAGAACCAUGCAUGUCCAAGAGAACACAGAUAAAAGUCAUGUCCUGCCUUAGUGUUCUGGGCGAUGGUCUCCUUUGGAGAUUGAACCUGAGACACAGUGGAAAGAACUGACUUCUGGGUGAAACCAGAAGGAGCUAUUUGCAAAAGCAGAACACUUACAGAUGUUUAAAAUAAAGAGGCUCUGCAAACUUUCAAGUUGUGGGCUUUAGAACCUUUAUUGUAAAUAUAUAGGGCACAAAGUAAUGACCUUGCUCAGGCUUUUAACUAUCCCUUAUAGAACUGUGACACACAAUGGUUACUCUGCCAGUUAACUGAUCACUCCUAUAGCAGCUGCCACUCUUAAAAGCAGAGGACAGGUUUCCCCAGCCUCUGUUUGGUGAGUCCCCAUUGAAGCCAGUAGCCAAUGGAAUCAAUAGAAGGUUGACCAGACAUACAACUGGGUUCCUUUCUGGAGUCUGACCUCUGGUUAUCUGGGCCAAUAGAAACGGAAAACAACUGAUUCUUGCGGUUCCAAGAAGAGUUUAAUGAUGACAUCUACCUGCUAUUGCUGCCACAAUCCAGGCCACUUUAAGGACUGCCUUAAGAGGCCCCUCAAGCCAUGCCCUAACUGCAAAGGGGACCACUGGAGGUUAGACUGCCCUCUGGGGCCAGGGCCCCAUGGUUCAGAACCAUCCUAUCAGCUGGCCCAGCAGAACUAAAGGGCCUCAGGGCACACUCCUCUCCUCCCUCUGGCCAGACUGUCAUCUCAGCCUGUCAUUUUUACAGAAGAGCCAUGAGUAAUCAGGACAAGAGGUAAAAACCAGCCGAUUGCUGGGCAUUGGCAUAUGUCUCUUUGUCCUUCUCAACUCUGGUCUUACUUUCAGGUAUUGUAUCUCAAUAAAGUCCCCAAAUAUAUGUGGCUUAAACCAUAAAUUGGAUAACUUUCUCUUCACUCAUUUCUUUUAGUUAUGCCUAAGAGCCCAGCUUGCAUCCUGGAGAGAUUUUAUCCUGUCUAAAUACUGUAAUAUAUAUCCAGGUUGCCUAAUCAAAAUGAUGCUGCAACUGGUUUUUACGAAUAUAGUGCAUAUUGUUGUUUGUAUAUAAAAGCUUAAAAGCUGGGCAUGGUGGCUCACACCUGUAAUCCCAGCACUCGGGAGGCUGAGGCAGGAGAAUCACUGGGAGUUCGAGAUCAGCCUGGGCUACAAAGUGAGCUCAAUGCCUGCCCAAACUGCAUAGCGAGACCCUGUCUCAAAAAAAAAAAAAAAAAAAAACUUAAAGAGUUUUUUAUUUGUCAAAAUAAUAUAUUAAUCUGGCUCUCAUAACUUAUCAAAUUUAGAGAGAUAAUUAUAACUAAAGCUAGAGGGACUUCAGACUUCAUCAAUAAAAGGACCUAAGGGCCAAUGGGUUACAAUUGCUAUUCCUUAGAAACAGUUUCUAAACUUACCUGCCAACUCUAAUGCUAAUGCUUUGAUUAUACAUGGCUUUUUAUACCAACUUUGAUUGUAUAUACUUUUUUUUUUUUUUUUUUUUUUUUUUUGGUAACGGGGAUUGAACUCACAACUUUGUGCUUGCCAGGCAGGCACUUAUACCACUGAGCUAAAUCCCUGGCCCUGAUUGUAUAUACUUUGGUUAAAUUUGUUCUUGCCUAGAAGGUGCCAAACCCCAAGGCAUCAUACAGAUGAAAACAAUAACAUAUAUGCUAGAUUCCUUUUAGAUUCCUUUCACUGGGAUCCACCAGAUCUUGUCCAGAAAAAGUUUAUAUAAUGUAUAUUGAGACUUUAACUAACUGUACUCAGCAGGUCUUAAAUGGUAUUGCAGCUGAUCCGUCUCGCCUAAAUAAAAAGGUAAAAUGAAUGAAACAGGAAACCCUCCAAACUCGGAUGAUAUUAGACAUUCUAACAACAGCAAAGAAGGUACUUCUGCAAUCUAAAUGCAUGUAUAUCCCUGCUCCUUCUGCUAAUAUCUCAAUAACUGUUCAAGGUAUCAGAUGAUAAAUCAAUGAUAUGUCAGACUCUAAAAAUUCAUUGGACCUUAUUCUUAUCCCCAUAUGAUGGAAAUCUUUGUCAGAUGUAUUCACAAUUAUCUUAAUAAUUUUAUUAUUUGGUCCAUGCAUACUUAAUUGCUUCUUUGUGUUUACUCUAGACUUAAAGCUGUACACCUACUCAAGGUGAAAACACCUGGUAUCUCCUGAUGGCCGUUAGAUAGAACCUCUGCAGAUUAUCACUGACUGCCAUUCAGUGACUAUUCAAUGAACAUUCCAUGGCCUGAAGAGGCCAGUUCAGUCAUCACCCAUUACCCCUUCACAGCAGUUGGGUUUACUUCUUCAGACUGGGGAAUGUUACAGGCAGCUGAGUUAGUUAGAAAUAUUACAGGCAGUCAGAAAGGACUAGGCCCUCAUAGGAGCCAGUGCAGAAGAUCAGAUACCUUGCAACCUUGGGGGAGACAGACUCCUCCCAUGGUCGCCACAUCUCAAGACAAAAGGCAAAACAAGUGUAACCACACUCUAACACAUCAGGGACUGACAUUCUAAAUAGGUAUGGAUCACCUUGAGCAAGCCAGGAGUCACUGUCCCAACCCUCUAUCGAAAGAGUCACUGUUCUUUAAGCAUAUCUGCUUGCUACUUGACUCACCUCCCCAUUUGUCUGUGAUUUGGUCAAUUUUAUCUGAACAAUUAAUCUUAUUGGUUGACUAUAGUUCUCUCCAACCUCAAGCCCAUCUUCCUGGUGAGUUCACAGUUUUUUACAUCUUGGACCUGUCUCACCUCAUGAUUUUACUCCAUAAAAGUCCCUAGUAAAGACAGAAUCUUUGGCAAACCACUCAGGGUCCCUUGACAGGAGCUUUCUUUCUCUCAAUAAAUAUAUUCUGCUCUUAAUCUGCUUUGUUCCUAAAAUUUAGUCUUCAAUUUUAGAGAACACAAACUCAUAUGGAUAUCUAGUAGGUUGGGACUUUCAUUCCCCUGUAUCAGGGUCAUCAGUUCACGGCCUAAAGAAAAGAAAAAAACAAAACUACUUGUUUUUGUUGUUGGGGGGAGGUGCAUUUUGCCAAAAAUUGUGCUGCUACACCUGUGGGGGUAACACAGGAAAUAUCUGUCCCUUCAACAAAAUCUUCUACUAUAUGUCCAAAGUAUAGAUGUUAUUGGGCCACCUAAAGUAAAUUUAGAAGUGAUGUGGAAGGCCUACCUGUUCCAGAAAAAAAAAGAAAACUUCCAGCAGGGCCUGUAUCAGCCAUGCCAAAGAGUGAUGGCUCAGACAGUUUCCCUGAGAUGGCACAGCCCUGUUUGGCUGGCAGGCUCUUAUUGGCUGGGGGUAACAUGAUCCUGAUUUGUGGUUUGCUGAUUUUUGUUUGCACGAUACUCUUACAGAAGACAAUUUCAACUAACCAAUAUGACAACAACUAACCUGUAAAACUUCUCAAAAUUCAACAUUUGGCUUUCACUAGCUAGUAACAGGCUGGCUCCAGCACAUCACUGUUUCACCAUGGCUUUGUAGUGGGUCUUGAUAUCUGGUAACAAAUUCUCACACUCCGUUUUUUUUCAAAAUUGUUUACUACAGAGGUACUUGUUUCGAAGCCAUGAUGAAUGUAACUCUACAUUUAUUUAGGUCUUGUUCACUUUCUUAUAUCGAAUUUUAGGUUUCAAUACACUGACACUACACAGCUUGCUGAGUUCCUUGAGUUUGUUUCCAGAAGAAAGAAAUUGUAACCUUACAUUUGUGGGAGGAAAUGGGAAAACAACUUAGAGCUAGUUCAAGGCUACUAAAAAACCAAACCAACACAAGUCUAUGUAGACUUCUACAUAUUUGUAAAGGUUAUUUAACAAGGCAAAUUGCAAGUUUCUUCUCCUCCCACUACUCACAGGCCUUCAGGCAAGAGGGGAACCAAAGAGCUCCACUAAGCCUGGAGUUAGGUCCAGACAAGAGAGAUGAAAGAAACAACGGUGCUUGUUUCAGCUGCAAGGGGAAAUCAGAGUUAUGGUUCAAUCUACUCAAAACACUUCAAAUCACCCCAGAUUCUCCUAUUGCUCCUAUUCUUCCCUUGACAAAAAUUAGAAAAUCUAUAAAGAAAGGGGAUCUAAGGCUUUUUGGUUUUCUGAUACUCACUGGGUUCAAUUAAGCAUUAAGCAGGAUCACCCUGAGAUUAAAUUGAUAAUUAAAGAAAAAGCAUUUAAAGGGCUUUUAGGCACAGAAACAAAUGCUUCAGUUAUUGGCCAAUGCCAUUAGCCUAUGGCAUGGCUUCUGGAUGUGACAACUGCAGAUCUACAGGGUAAAGGCAAUGUUCUCAUCCUGGUAAAAGUGCUAAAUUGAUUUAACCUGGGGGGAUACAACGAGCACCUUUGCUGCCACAUGCAAUCAAUUUGCUUUUGAAUUACAAAUUUAUGAUCAAUUUAGAAGAGUAGUCACAAGGAGGGAAAAGCCAGCAUCUCCCAAGAAUCAGCCAUUCUGGGAUGGGGACAAGCCACCAAGAAAUCAACUAGCCAGCCUUUCUGGUAGGCUGAACAGGCCGAGUGGGUUCUGUUGUACUCUAAGAAAAUAGCUUCGUUAUAUGUGUAUUAUAGCAAACCUGUAAAGUGGCUUACUAAAUGUGUUUUUUUUAUCCUUUUUCCCUAACUGAUAUUUUAAGUGACGUAAUUGAUAUGUUGAGCAAUACUCUCCUCUGUAAAGAAUUGCAAGAAUCUCACCUAAUUGAUAUGUUAACCAUUGUUGCCCUCUACAAACUACAGAAGUUGUGCUAAAACAAGCUAACAAGGGUUGUUAAUCACUGUUAGGCGCCUCUAUUCUCCGCUAAAGAGCUAAAGAAAACUAGAAUGGCCCAUUAAUUUACACUUGUUUAAAGUAACCUGCUUGUGUGCAGAGAGAUUUGCAUAUGAGUUUAACCCUUUACCCUGACCUUGACACAUAACCGCCGUUUCCUGUUCUGUAUGGCGCCUUAUUCCCUCCCUCUCCCCUCACCUAUCUAUCUAGGCCAUAAAGAAUUUGGGUUUCUGGUGACCUCUUCCCGACCCGGUGAUGAUCUGUCAUAAAAUGAGCCUGCCCCAAAUUUUAAGAACUGUUUAGCUUCAAAGAAAUUACCGGGAAAUACUAUGGCCCAAACCCCAAUCGGUGCUUUCCUUUUGUUCUGUAUGCAUCAAAUGUGUUAGAUAUCAGACCUUUGUAAAACUUAAGUUUCAGCUUCUUGUAACUCUUGACCCCUCUUGACCCACUAGUGAAAACUAGCUGUCCUGGGAUAAUUAACUGUCCACUUUCUUCUCCAAAUAUUGCUGCAGAUGUGCCACUCCGAGAUAAUGUCAGUCUGUAGGAUGGGAGUAAUUUGAGAAACACCAGGAACUCCCGAGAUUGUCAGAGCUAAGUGGACAGCAAUACAGUUUCCAGACUCGGGUCAACAAGUUUGAUGGCUCUGCAGGUUUCUUUGUUUCUCCACCCCCCCUUUUCCUCCAGCCUCUUUUUAAAGUCCUCCCUUCAGUCUCUGGGACACAGUCUCCAAAUUGGCUCCCUGAGACUGGUCGCCAGGCCUGGAAAUAAAGCCUUUGCCACCUAAAUUUUUGGUCUCUUGCCUCCUUGGAUUUUAUACUGGGGCCCAAGUUAUAACAGGUUCUAGGGAGAGAAAACUGAGAUAGCUUCUCCCAUAAGCCUAGCACAGGCUGAGUUGAUAGCAACUAAGGUACAUAAAGCAACUAAAUGCUUGUGUUGUUUGGUUGAUUUUGCAGGCCUUGGGCCAGUGGUCUGAGCAUCUUUUGGGAGGUGACAGCAUGCAAUACAACAAAUAUGGGGGACUUCCUUCUAUCUUGUCUUUAAAAAUCCAAUAUUGUUCUCAUUGUUUUUCUUUAUUCUGAUUGUUUUGCUUUAUUCAAUACUCUGUUUUGAUUGGUUUUAUUCUGUUUUGUUUUUGGUUUGAUUUUGCUAUCUAUACCUGACGGAAUGGACAACUACUGUGAAGACAAGAUAUACUAUUAUAGUAGCUAUGGUUUGUUUUCCUAUGCUGCUUUGAAGUUAUGUACCAAUUUUGCUGCAUUGUUGGAUUGGCUUUGUUCUGUUUUGUUUUGUUGGAUUUUACUAUCUUUAACAUAAAAAAUAAAAAAUUAAAAGGAAUAGUAGCCAGAAGGGUGUGGAGGAUGAUAGAGUCUCUCAGCUUGAGGCUUAGCUAUCUCUAGUCAGUCACCCAAUUUGGUACCAGGCCCAGAGAAGCCACUUACCUAAGAGUAACUUCUAUAUUCUCCUUGUAGUUCCAGAAAUAAACCUCCUUCUCCCUUUUUGCACAUGUGCUGAUCCUUCUCCAAUCCCAAGACUCCACAACCACUCAAGCACUCCAUCCCCAACCCCAGCAAAUCUUUCUGUUUCCUGUUUUGUCCACACAGAUGCUCCUUUCAAGUCAGCUAUUGUAGGCCAUUUUGCCCACCUCCCAAUCUCCUCCCCCAACCAGACCUGACAAAAGUAGUUUCGCUUCUUUGUUCUCCCUGAGAAUGCCUGCAACUCUUCUGCAGCCCGCUGGGCCCACAAUAAGCGCCUCUUUUCUACUUUGUCUAUCAUGCCAAAAUCGUAUCGAUCUUAUCAGAGUAGACUUUCUUCAAUGGGUAAGACAUCCCUAGAUUUCAUUUCUAGCCCUCAGGGCCUAAAACCAUUUUAGGAUUUUUGCCUUUAAGAAUUCAUGUAAAUGGUGUAAGGCAUGUACAAGUUCCCCACAAUGCACUGGCCUGGCCUGGCUUGGUGUGGCAGGAUAUAUGCCAUGGAUUUGAUGUUUGCUUGCAACUGCAGGCAAUGACAGGGGGACAGAGAGGCAGCUAGCCAGAGCCUGCCAAGCUUUUUAAUGGCCAGGACACUGCUGGCAGUGCUACAACACUUGGCCCUGGGCUGGGAAGGUGGGGUGUGGCUCUGGCACACCCCAGCCACCGCUGUUUUUCCCAUCACCUGUUCACAUGCUUUUAUGCAUCAAAAGUUUACAGGGCACCAGUGCUCGGGGACCCUUAACCACGGCAGGCCUCCAGGCCAGAGCAGGAGAACAAUCUGCACACUGAGAUGGCAAGAGAGAGCUCUAGGUGCUUAAGUAUAAAAUGCAGGGUUUUUUCCUGUACCCUACCCAGAAAUUCCUUAUAAUCCUCAGGUCUGAAAAUAGUUAUAAUUUGUAAUUUUCCACAGAUCACUCCAUGCCGUGUUCCUGUUCUGUAUGCGUUGCCCACCCCCCUCCCUUUUUCUGUUCCUUCUCCACUGGGCUCAUAUAGAUAAGUUAACCACCAGCCUCAUAUCUCCCCCACUCUUUUUAUUAUAGAAAUAUCCUGCACCUAGCCCUCAGCCCAACACAGCCCAACACCCUGUUUUCUGAGAUCACUGUGCUCCAGAUGUCCCUUAUAAAACUCCCCGGAUUCCCACUCUGUCUUUUGAACCUUUACCCUGUUUUGUGGUUUUUGCUAAUAAAAGCUAUACGCCCCACUAUGUCGGCAUGCAGAGGCUGGCAGUCUCCACUGCUCCCUGCAUCACUGGCUGCCAGCUAAAUAAAGCACUUCUUUUUCUUCAAAAAUAUCUUGCCUUGUUCUGAGCAACAUUUGGGGAUCUCACUUCUGGGCUACAUUUAGGGGCUCAUCCUGAAUUACAUGGGGACCCCUCCCCACAUAAUGUUUCACCAAUCGAUUGGCUUGAACCAUCUGUAAGUAUUUGGGUUUUUUGUUCUUUGUAAUUUGAGUGUGCACGUUUGAAAUUGCAGACAAGCCUGGGCUCAUUCUGCACCAGAGUGGGACGCCUUCCAGGAAAGGACUUCUAGCCCAUUUGUGAUUUGGGGCUUUUUGCCCAUUUGGUUUUAUGCUUGGUAUAUUUUUACUGUGGAGCCAUUUAAUUGUUUGACUCUGUUACCUCAGUACUAACAUUCAAAUUUCUUUUAUUUCUCUUAAACUACUGUUGCAGGUUCCGUGUGGCUUAUUGGACUUAAGGGUCAUAAUAAAAAUUUGUUUCCCUUAGGUUGCUGAACCAUGGACAGAAAAACCUUUGUUUGUGUCUUUAAUGUUAGUCUUGUCUUUUGUGGCACCUUAUUUAAUGUUUUAGACAACUGAUUACUUACAACUUCGGCAUGAGUUAAAAAGGUUUUUUUCUUUCUGGUUAAAAUGUAAAUAUGUAUAUAUAUGCACAUAUAUUUACACACACACAAAUAUAUAUAUAUAUGGUUUUUUAUUUUUUAUUUUUGUCUUUUUCCUUUUUAUCGGUACGGGGGAUCGAACUCACGACUGCCUGCUUGCAAGGCAGGCACUUAUGCCGCUGAGCUAAAUCUCUAGCCCCUAUAUAUGGUUUUUAAAAUUAUAUUAACUUUACCAACUGAAACCAGGUCAUACUGUUAUUGAGCCAGUUUAAAAAGUUAGUUUUAAAGUGUAGCAUUUUAAGGUGGUAAAAAGACAUAAAAUGAUUCAAUAUAUUUUAGAUUACUAAAAGAAAGUCAUUUUGUUAAAAGUUUUAAUGUCUAAAAAGCUAGAGAAGAGAUAAUUGACUGGUAAUAAGUGAGAAAAACAAAUGUGUUCAGAAUUUAACAGAAUUAGAUCAGUAAACCUUUACUGAAAAAUGUUUCCAUUAAAAUAAGAUUAUAUUCUAAAAAGGGGAAGGAUCUGUCUUCUCUACUCAUUGCUCCACUUGGGAUGACUGUCAGAGAUUUUGCAGGUUUUAUUUACAGCAGAAGAGAGAGAAAACAUUCGCACCAUGGGAUAAAAAGCAGUGUGUGUUCCAGAUGAAAACCUGUCCUCUGAUCCCAAAUUCCAGAACCAUGUUUUCCCUUUGUCCCGCGGACACCCAGAGGUAAGAAGGCUCUCGAUCAGUAUCGCAGUUGUUGGCCAUCAGAAAACCCAUCGAUUUGUCCACGGUAGCAGAGGUGAGACAAUUGGCUGAUGAGUCCCCCUUAAGGUUUCUGGAAGUAUUACAAGAAGCCUAUUACAUUUACACCCAUAAAUCUGGUAACACCUAAAAAGCAAGGGCCAUUAAUAUUGCCUUUGUAACUGCUGGCCCCUGAUAUUAAGCAAAAAUUGCAAAGGCUUGAGGGAUUUAAGGGAAUUCCCCUCAGUUAGUUAUUAGAGAUUGCUUAAAGAUAUUUGACAACCAGGAAGACCCUAAGGACCAGAAGCAGACAAAGCUGCUGGGAAUGCUACCUGACAAAGUCACCCAGCCGGCUGAGAAGUCUCCUCUGCCUCUAGAUAGAAAUCAAUGUGCUUAUUGCAAAGAGAAGGGGCACUGGCAAAAGGACUGUCCCAAGCUCUUCCAUGGGCUUUAGAUCUUUUUUUUUUUUUAAUCAGUACUGGGGAUUGAACUCACGACUGCCUGCUUGCAAGGCAGGUACUUAUGCCGCUGAGCUAAAUCCCCAGCCCCCAGGCUUUAGAUCUUUCCAAGGGGCUUGAUAACGUGGCAGCCGGAUGGCCACCUUGUCUGUGGGUGAUUUCCUUGGUGACCCUUCUAGUAAAGGAGGCUCAAAAAUUGACUUUUGGAUAGAAACUUUUAAUUGUCUCCGCCCAUUCGCCAGAGACUCUCAUCAAGGCUCUACUGGACUCAUUGUUGCCCAAUUCCCGACUCAUGCACUAUCAGGCAUUACUUCUGGAUCUGACUACCAUCAGUUUCAAGGGGACACUGGCUUUGAACUCAGCUACUCAGCUGCCUGAUGAUGACCCCCCUCCUUGCCCUUCUGAUCAUCUCACGGGGCUUCGACUAGACUUGACAGAUGAGCCACUAUCCAGAGUUACAUUGUAUUUCUCCAAUGGAAGCAGUUACAUCUGUCAAGGUAAGUGGGUUGCAGGAGCCACCAUUACUAUCGACUCUCAGAUUCUAUGAGAACAAACCUUGGUGCCAGGAACAUCAGCCAGAUGGGCUGAACUCAUUGCCUUCACUGAGGCCCUCAAGUUGUCAGACUGAUAGCAAAUAUGCAUUUGCUUCUGCCCAUGUUCAUGGGGCCAUUAAUCAAGAGUGGUGUUUAUUGACUUCUGGGGGGUCAAAAAUGAUCCUCAGAUUUUGGAUUUGUUAGCUGCCAUUUGGAUGCCAACGAAGGUGGCUAUUAAUCUAGCAGACACCACUGCCCAAAAAAUGGCCACAAAAUCAGUGGGGAUUGAGACAGCCCCGGCAUUGCUGCUGAUUCCAUCUACUCUGUCAGAGCCCUUUUCUCAAAAAGACUUGAAUUUGGCAGCUCAACUCCAAGUGAAGCCUGAUAUCCCCAGGGGCUGGUACCAACUGCCUGAUAAGCGAGCCCUCCUCCCCGAGGCCUUAGGAUGAGAACUCAUCCAACAAGCUCAUCAGUCUACUCACAUGGGAGGAUCAAAACUCACUGCUCUUUUUCAAGAUUGUUUCUUUAUCUCUCAGUUAUCCAAGCUUACUCGGUUUGUGAGCCUUAGAUGCCCUCAGUGCCAGUUGGUGAACCCAAAAUGACCACAAAAAAAUGGGAAAGCCUGGACUUCAAGGGAAUAAGUACUUAUUAGUAAUGGUAGAUACUUUCACUGGAUGGUUCGAAGCUUUUCCUACUAAGUCUGAGUCAGUCCUGAUAGCAGUUUCCCUGAUUUGGCCUCCCUUUAUCCAUGGGGUCUGACAAUAGCCGGGCUUUUAUAGCCCAGAUAACUCAAAAACUAACCCAAGCUUUGCAGAUUAAUUGGAAAUUCCAUUUUGCUUACUGGCCCCAAAGAUCAAGAUAAGUAGAAAGGAUAAACCAGACUUUAAAAGUGGUAAUAACUAAGAUGGCAUUGGAAACUGGUGAGAACUGGGUGAAUCUCCUUCCUUUUGCCCUCUUGUAUGCGCAAUGUACCCCCUUUGUUACAGGUGUUUCCCCCUUUUUAAAGCUCUAUAUGGGAGACCUCCACCUCUUAUUCCUAAAAUUUCUGAGGAAAAAUUAGCUGAUCUGGCUAAUCAAGAUCUUGUUAAGUCCCUCCAGGCCCUUCAGCUAGUUCUGACUUCCAUCCACUGGUUAUUCUGAGAACAACCACCUCUGCCUGCAGCCCAUCCUGAGGACGAACAUCCUGCAGCAAACUGGGAACAUUAGUCCUCAUUAAGAGACAUCACCAUGAAAGAUGGCAGAUAGAUAACAUCUGGCUACAGAGGCUCCCUGAGACAGUCAACUUAGACUUCAACAUAAUGCAGAGUGGGGAGCCCCAAACACAAGGAGAUGAAUUCUCUUGUCCCAAGAAGAAAUUAAGGUGAGAAGAACCAACCAAACAUACAGUCCUGGUGCUAUUAUUGGAACAGCUAAAGGUUCAGUGUUCUUGCCACAGUGGACAACUUGCUGACAAUCCGAGGUCCCACCACAGCUUGCCAAGGUCCCAUUGCAAUUUGCCAAGCCUUCUGAGGUCCCGCCACUUGGACUCACUGGAGGCACAGUUACACUGAGUUCAGGGGUUGGCAAGCUGAACGGAGAGCUGAGCUGGCAGGGUGCCUGCAUCAACCUGUGGUGAGUGAUGGGAGUGGGGCCAUUCCACAGAAAGGGGCCUCUGGUGGACUGGUAAGCACAAAGGGCAGCAGUGACUUCAGUCAGUUGUUCUCUUCCCGAAUGGGAUUGGUGGAAUGAGCUGGGUCUGGGUCAUGGGACCUGACUGAGACCCAAUAGGUUAUCCAAAAUCAAUAGUGGUGGUGCAUACUAACCACACUAACCUAGUGAAGCCUCACAAGUUUGACUGACCUGGAGGGGAUGUGGUGCAAAGUAAUAUAGUGCAGGCCACAGCAGCUUGGCUGACCCAAGGGGAGGCAGUGCAUAGUAAUACAGUGCAGGCCACAGCAGCUUGACUGAUCCAGAGAGGAGGUGGCACAUAGUAAUACAGUGAAGGCCACAGCACCUUGACUGAUCCGGAGGGGAGGGACCAGUAUAUGCUGUCCCUGUCUGCAACUCACUAGCACAUGGCAGUGGGAAGGGUCAUCUAGCCAGCGUGCUUCAGAAGAAUUGUAACCAGCAAAGAAAGAAACUGGGACCCCCCAGAAGAAGCAAAAAAGAUGGGAAGAGGAAGCAACAACAAAAAGUCCCCAGGUUCCAACCCUGAGAACAUUGACCCAGGACAGGUAAAUACAAAGGAGAAUGAGAACAGCAAACAUAAUAUCAGACAGAGUGCCAGUGGACAUAAAGAGAUAUCUUUGGGACCUCAUAGACCAGUUCAAAAGUGAAAUAUUUAGCCAAGUAAAGCAAGAUAUAAGAUUAAUACAAGAGAUCCUAAGCACCCUCAAGAAGACAGGAAGAAGGGAGGAACUCAAACAAAGGAGAGAACCAUUUGAUGAAGAAUAUAAAAAAAUAUAGAAUACAUGAAGCAGAUUCAAAGAUUACCUGGAAAUUAAAAACUCUGGAAAGAUGGCAAAUCAGCUUGAAAGAAACUAAGGAUAGAUUGUCCAAACUGGAGGACAGUUUUGCAAUGUGGGAUUAUGAAAGGGAAAACUUUUUAAAAGUAACAAGGAAAUAAGCAGUAUCAACACAAAGGUUAGAAGACAAGAGGAUCUAUAACUUGAGAAUAAAGAAUGUGAAUGAAGAAGCUGGGGUACAAACAAUGGAACUACAAAGGUUAUUCACAGAAAUAAUUAAGGAAAACUUCCCAAACACAGGAAAAGGAAAUGAUAUUCUGAUAUAUGAGACAUACAGAACUCCAGCCACCUACAACCAAAACAGAGCAUAUAAUACUCAAGAUCCCAGAAAUUCAAUAUAAGAACAGAAUAUUAAAAGCUGUUAGAGACAAGCAACAGAUAACCUACAGAGGAAGGCCCAUCAAAAUAACAGCAGACUUCUCCACACAAACCAUCAAGUCAAGAAGAGCCUGGAGCAAAAUAUUCCAAGCCCUGAAAGAAAAUAACCUUCAUCCCAGAUUGAUAUACCCUGCUAAACUGUCUCUAGAAAUUAAUGGAGAAACAAGAUGCUUCCAAGACAAAGAGGAACUUGAGAAAUUCAUAACCACCAAUCCAGCUCUACAGAGAAUACUGUAGGGCAUUCUAGAGAGAGAGAAAAGUACUAGGGUUCCAGGAACAGUGGCAGAGAGGCCUCAAUGAAUGGAACAGAAAACAGAAUGAAGAAGAUAAGCAGACAACUGAUGGCAAAAAAGAGCAUAACAGAAAUGAGGCAGAGAAGAUUUUAUUUAAAACUAAUAUGAUGGAUAGUAUCAAGUCUGAGAAUAUAGGCAACUACACUGAAGAUGACAAGACUCUACGAUACACAUUCUGGUUUGAUAACUGCCAGUCUUUGAAGUUAUAUCCUAUAUACAAAGUUGUGUUUUUAUUAAUACUGUUAUGCACUGAUAUAUUUAAUUAUAUUAUGUUUGACGAUAUAGCCAGUUCUAUUGGAGAUAACAAGAGACAACACAGGAACCAUGGUAGAACUCUUUGUACAACAGUCUUAUAUGUUUUUUUUCAUUUCAUGUGUUUAUAGAAAUGUUUUUUUUAAAGUCACUUUAUUUACCUACUAAAUACUCUCACACAUUUUUUUUUUUUUGUCUUCUUCGUUUUUACUGGUACUAGGGAUCAAACUCACGACCGCACACUUGCAAGGCAGGUGCUUAUACCACUGAGCUAAAUCCCCAGCCCCUAUAGAAAUGUUUUGUUUUGUCUUGCUUUGUUUUGUCUCUCCCUCUAACAUAGAUAUACAUGUUAAGAUUUAUGUGUAGAAUCUAUAAACAGUUUAUGAGAACUGAUCUUAUGACACAUGAAAUAUACAGAUACUCUGAAGAAAAAGAGACACUAAACUACCCAGUGCUGAUCCUAGAGUGUCAUAAUGUGAAAUCCAACAAUAGUAUUAUUCUUUGUUCAGAGUGGUACUAGCCUGCUUGGGUUUAUUCAAUCUCAACAUAAUUGAAGAUAUGGAUAACUGCAUGUAUGUUUAAGUGUAUAGGAUUGGUAACCAUAUUUCUAAGUUUUUGUUGGACAGUUGAACAGAACUGGUUGCAAUCUACUGUUGAAUCCCCACUUUAUAUGCUCCACUUUAGUAUCUUGAAUAACUAUUUGUAGGAAGACAAUCUGUAAUCAUCAACUAGUGGUUUCUGUUUUUUCUUUGAAAUUAUGUAUUAUUUCUACCCAUUUUCUGUUUUGUUUAGUCUUUCUUUAAAUUAAAUUUAAAAAAAAGACAUUACAUUACCCAGUGCUGAUCAUGCAGUGUCAUGAUGUGAAAUCCAGCAAUACUAUUAUUCUUUGUUCAGAAUGAUUUUAACCUGCUUUAGUUUGUUUAAUCUAAACAUAAAUGAAGAUAUGGAUACCUGCAUGUAUGUUUAAGUGUACAGGAUUGAAACCGUGUCACUAAGUUUUUGUUGGACAGUGAACAGAACUGUUUGUGGCCUCACUGUUUGAAUUCUCACUUUACAUGUUCCAUUUUUGUAUCUUGAACAACUAUUUGUAAAAUGAUAAUAUGUAAACAUCAACUAGUGAUUUUUUACUAUUGUUUUCUCUGAAUUUAUGUAUUAUUUCUACCUAUUUUGUUUAGCUUAGUCUUUCUUUAAAUAAAAUUUUAAAAAAUAAAAAAUAAAAAAUAAACCCUGUGGCAGGGUUUUCUGA
Long non-coding RNA from Cavia porcellus (domestic guinea pig), 17996 nucleotides. RefSeq lists it as uncharacterized. Lineage: Eukaryota; Metazoa; Chordata; Mammalia; Rodentia; Caviidae. The record is from RefSeq and is a predicted model, not a curated record. The transcript is spliced from 4 exons.